RNAcentral lists this long non-coding RNA (1028 nucleotides) under Homo sapiens (human). RNAcentral describes it as "HSALNT0083623". The record is from RNAcentral. Lineage: Eukaryota; Metazoa; Chordata; Mammalia; Primates; Hominidae.
CGGAGCACAGUGCCUGUUAACAACCUGAGCAAGAUAAGGAUAAUAGCACCCUGCAACUUCUCACCAAGAGAGAGGGCAUCUCUGAACAAGACCGCUGAAGCUGAGAGCUGGAAGGAGCUGAGUGUCUUCUAGUCUCUCCCAGGAGGGAAGAGCUGUGCUGAUGGACAAGAGGACAGGUUGGACACUGUGCUGAUGGACAAGAGGACAGGUUGGUCACUGUGGACUUAGCUGACUCCAGGUCUGGAGGCUGGAAGUUGGAGGUCAAGGUGUCUGCAGGCUUGGUUCCUUCUGAGACUGUGAGGUAUGCUUCUACCAAAGAAAAAAUCAUGCUACUGUUUCCAAACACACUCUACUCAAUGACUGUCUCAUGUUCAGUAGAGCAAGAGCACCGGCAUUCAAAACUAAAAUUUCUACUCAAGAGCCAAUCCUCGUGGGAACAUAUGUGCAGAGGAGAUCAAUGAUGAAGGUGGCUGAGAGAUGCCAGGUGUCUCCAGGGCUUCCCUGGGUGGCUGUGAGCACAGCAGAUCUGCUUGCCAGUUUGUUCCACACGUGGGGGCGUGAGCACGAGCCACCAACAUGGAUUGGAGCUCUUCUCGGCUGUUUUAAGACUGUUUCAAGCUGUCCACCAUCUUCGGAAUUCCCUUUAUUCUUCCGAAGUGCCAGUUUCCUAUUAGAACCAAAAUAGAAUCAUCAUUUUCGUAUUUUCAAUGGAUUCAGAAACUAAAAAUGUUUUCUGGCAUCAAUUUCUGGGAAAAUGUACAUGCUAAUGUUUUGAAGGGAUUUGCAUAUGGGAACAACUUGCUCUCAUGAUAAAUUUUUUCUGCAUGGGCUCUGGCCUCAGGAGUCUGGCCUCAAAUCUCAAUUCUGAAAAUAGGUAUGGUAACGAUAUAACAAUAAUCAUAAUAAUUAUCCCAUAUAGUUGUUUCCAGGGCUAAAUAAAAUAGUCUAUGUGAGUUGCUUGGUGCAACACCUGAUUCAUAGAAGCCCUCUAAAAAUAAGGAGCGGAAGGGAUGGAACGGAGGUUAGAA